GGAGAGGGCUAGCGUUAUUCGGAAUUAUUGGGCGUAAAGGGCGCGUAGGCGGAUUAGUAAGUUAAGAGUGAAAUCCCAAGGCUCAACCUUGGAAUUGCUUUUAAAACUGCUAAUCUAGAGAUUGAAAGAGGAUAGAGGAAUUCCUAGUGUAGAGGUGAAAUUCGUAAAUAUUAGGAGGAACACCAGUGGCGAAGGCGUCUAUCUGGUUCAAAUCUGACGCUGAGGCGCGAAGGCGUGGGGAGCAAACAGGAUUAGAUACCCUGGUAGUCCACGCUGUAAACGAUGAAUGUUAAAUAUGGGGAGUUUACUUUCUGUAUUACAGCUAACGCGUUAAACAUUCCGCCUGGGGACUACGGUCGCAAGAUUAAAACUCAAAGGAAUUGACGGGGACCCGCACAAGCGGUGGAGCAUGUGGUUUAAUUCGAUGCAACGCGAAAAACCUUACCACUCCUUGACAUGGAAAUUAUACCUAUUCGAAGGGAUAGGGUCGGUUCGGCCGGGUUUCACACAGGUGU
Molecule: ribosomal RNA, 515 nt
Filed under: bacterium symbiont of Megymenum gracilicorne
Lineage: Bacteria
Description: bacterial SSU rRNA
Rfam family: Bacterial small subunit ribosomal RNA
Source: RNAcentral